CAGCCGCCGCGGUAAUACGAGGGGGGCAAGCGUUGUUCGGAAUUAUUGGGCGUAAAGGGCGCGUAGGCGGUUUGGCAAGUUUGGUGUGAAAUCUUCGGGCUCAACUCGAAGUCUGCACCGAAAACUGCCGGGCUUGAGUAUGGGAGAGGUGAGUGGAAUUUCCGGUGUAGCGGUGAAAUGCGUAGAUAUCGGAAGGAACACCUGUGGCGAAAGCGGCUCACUGGACCAUUACUGACGCUGAGGCGCGAAAGCUAGGGGAGCAAACAGGAUUAGAUACCCGAGUAGUCCCUGUCUCUUAUAC
This 301-nucleotide ribosomal RNA is filed under the name uncultured bacterium. RNAcentral's name for it is "partial 16S ribosomal RNA". It matches the Rfam family "Bacterial small subunit ribosomal RNA", at positions 509 to 807 of the family's 1533-position model. The record is from RNAcentral.